AUGAUGACCUUGCAUACCGCAGAGGCCGAGGGACAGCGGUUGCUCACGGAGACCGGCACCGGAGACGACGCCCGUUUGCCGUUGUCUAACGUUUAUGUCCUGUCCCUGCAUUUGUCGGGUUCACCUGGUUGGACUGCUAAACCUGACGCAGAGCUCGAAGUUGCCGAAAAGAUAGAGACACUUCUUGUAACCGGCUUCUCUGUUUUGGAGCUGCAUUUCUCGACAACUGAGUUUCAUUUCGGUAUACCAGCCAAGCAUGCUUUUGGAGGAUGUGUGGUGCGUCUACUUGGGAUGCAUCGGAUUCGUACCGCUACACGAAAGCUUAGGAUCGUCUUACUUAGAUCAGAUGUGGUAAAAGAAUGCCCAGUAAAUUGUCGUUGUGAUAAGCCCAAGAACUGGAGAAGAAAAAAUAUCUCGUUGAUCAAUCUUGAAGAAGUGGAAAUCGAAGGCUUCGAAGGGGAGGAUCAUGAUUUUGAUUUCCUGAAAGUGAUAUUCAGAUGCGCACCAAUGCUUAAAAGAAUGUCCGUGCGGAUGUGUGAUGAGGACAGCACAAGUAAUGAUCGGUGUUUGAAAACACACAACUUCUUCAAGGCGUAUCCUUUUGUGGAAUGCAAUGUUUAUCUUAGUUCCGGGUCAAAGCACCACAGCCAAAGUUGUGCAUUGGAAUGA
This 669-nucleotide ribosomal RNA is filed under the name Triticum aestivum (bread wheat). RNAcentral's name for it is "partial small subunit ribosomal RNA". The record is from RNAcentral. Lineage: Eukaryota; Viridiplantae; Streptophyta; Magnoliopsida; Poales; Poaceae.